GUUCCGAUAUGCACUGCGAGCACUGCACAGUGCUAUCACUGUGGAAAAAUUCGUUCCGUUAUGGACUGCCAGUAUACUGCCGCAGUACCCUAGGGAAAUAUAUGACGUCAUAAAUCGUCGCCAUAUUCUACUGUGAGCACUGGCGUUUUCGAGGUAAGGUAGUCGCAGUACUUUGAUCACGUGAUCAGUCAAAACCACUUGAGUGUCUAACGUUUUAUAAACAAUACCUACAGUUUAAUCCCAAAGUUAUAAAGUUCUGUAAUUAAUUUGGAUUUAAUAAAACAAUGGAAGAAUUGCAAAAUUAACCUUAUUAGACUGUGUUGAAAAUGUUCAAUACGAGCUGAAAGUUACGCAGGAAAUUUUUAAUCGUGCAAAGACCGAUACGAUGUUUGCUACUCAACUUUUGGAGUAUUGUAUAAAUAAAGGUAAAAAUGUGAAAUUAAUUAAAAUAUGUUAUAUUGAUAAUUUACAAAUGAUUAUCGUAUAUAACCACUAUGAAUACCUCUAUUGUAUCCAAAAAUCAGGUAUAAUAAUGUAAUAAUAAAAACUAAUCAUUUUUUCUAUUCAUAGUUUCCAAAAUUUUCGCAAAUAUUUUACCUUUGUUAAUUUGUAGGAAAUGGAAGAAGUAUUUGGCGAGCAGCCGUGGGUAAAACCUCUGUCUACUGCUGGAUCAAAUACUACCAACAAAAUGGAUCCUGACGUUAUCAGCCCACCACGAAAGCGUCAAAAACUUUAACUAACUACUGUGAAGAAUUACUUGCAGCUAAAGGAAAAUAGUGAAAUUCGCCAACAACAUCAUCGUGAGAAAAUUGCAUCAAUAGCUCAAUUAUCUGGUGCUCUUAAUAAGCUUGUGGAUCAUCU
RNAcentral lists this long non-coding RNA (861 nucleotides) under Cotesia glomerata. RNAcentral describes it as "uncharacterized LOC123270633, transcript variant X3". Lineage: Eukaryota; Metazoa; Arthropoda; Insecta; Hymenoptera; Braconidae. The record is from RNAcentral.